GCGAACGCUGGCGGCAGGCUUAACACAUGCAAGUCGAGCGGGCGUAGCAAUACGUCAGCGGCAGACGGGUGAGUAACGCGUGGGAACAUACCUUUUGGUUCGGAACAACACAGGGAAACUUGUGCUAAUACCGGAUAAGCCCUUACGGGGAAAGAUUUAUCGCCGAAAGAUUGGCCCGCGUCUGAUUAGCUAGUUGGUGAGGUAACGGCUCACCAAGGCGACGAUCAGUAGCUGGUCUGAGAGGAUGAUCAGCCACAUUGGGACUGAGACACGGCCCAAACUCCUACGGGAGGCAGCAGUGGGGAAUAUUGGACAAUGGGCGAAAGCCUGAUCCAGCCAUGCCGCGUGAGUGAUGAAGGCCCUAGGGUUGUAAAGCUCUUUUGUGCGGGAAGAUAAUGACGGUACCGCAAGAAUAAGCCCCGGCUAACUUCGU
Molecule: ribosomal RNA, 433 nt
Filed under: uncultured bacterium
Lineage: Bacteria
Description: bacterial SSU rRNA
Rfam family: Bacterial small subunit ribosomal RNA
Source: RNAcentral